UACAGAGGGUGCAAGCGUUAAUCGGAAUUACUGGGCGUAAAGCGCACGCAGGCGGUUGGUUAAGUCAGAUGUGAAAGCCCCGGGCUCAACCUGGGAAUUGCAUUUGAAACUGGCCAACUAGAGUACGUGAGAGGGGGGUAGAAUUCCAAGUGUAGCGGUGAAAUGCGUAGAGAUUUGGAGGAAUACCAGUGGCGAAGGCGGCCCCCUGGCACGAUACUGACGCUCAGGUGCGAAAGCGUGGGGAGCGAACCGG
RNAcentral lists this ribosomal RNA (253 nucleotides) under uncultured bacterium. RNAcentral's name for it is "partial 16S ribosomal RNA". It matches the Rfam family "Bacterial small subunit ribosomal RNA", at positions 524 to 776 of the family's 1533-position model. The record is from RNAcentral.